UGGGGAAUAUUGGACAAUGGGGGGAACCCUGAUCCAGCCAUGCCGCGUGUGUGAAGAAGGCCUUAUGGUUGUAAAGCACUUUAAGCGAGGAGGAGGGUACUGGUAUUAAUACUACCAGGUACUGGACGUUACUCGCAGAAUAAGCACCGGCUAACUCUGUGCCAGCAGCCGCGGUAAUACAGAGGGUGCGAGCGUUAAUCGGAUUUACUGGGCGUAAAGCGUGCGUAGGCGGCUAAUUGAGUCGGAUGUGAAAUCCCCGAGCUUAACUUGGGAAUUGCAUUCGAUGCUGGUUAGCUAGAGUGUGGGAGAGGAUGGUAGAAUUCCAGGUGUAGCGGAGAAAUGCGUAGAGAUCUGGAGGAAUACCGAUGGCGAAGGCAGCCAUCUGGCCUAACACUGACGCUGAGGUACGAAAGCAUGGGGAGCAAACAGG
Molecule: ribosomal RNA, 430 nt
Filed under: Pseudomonadota bacterium
Lineage: Bacteria; Pseudomonadati; Pseudomonadota
Description: Proteobacteria bacterium partial 16S ribosomal RNA
Rfam family: Bacterial small subunit ribosomal RNA
Source: RNAcentral